This is a long non-coding RNA of Canis lupus familiaris (dog), 969 nucleotides long. RefSeq lists it as uncharacterized. The transcript has 7 exons. NCBI's taxonomy places the organism in Eukaryota, Metazoa, Chordata, Mammalia, Carnivora, Canidae. The record is from RefSeq and is a predicted model, not a curated record.
AGGUUUGAACAAGUCAGAAGACACCUGGGGACUAGAUGGUGGAAUAAACAGACUCUUCAGCACUAAUGAUUCUGCAAUAGCAUGAGAUAUGCUGGUGGAAUGCGGCUGGGACAAUGUUGAAUUUGGAAAAGGAUCCAUUCUUGUCAGGAGUGAUUCACAGGUUUUCAUUUUCUGCCUGGGAAGAGCCCACAGCCCAUGGGAAGAGCCCACAGCCCAUAUUCUGAAGAAGGUGUUAUGAACUAGACCAGACAUAAAAGUGGUCUCAGCAAGCAGUGGAAAAGAUACACAUGAGAUAAGGAUACCUGGUGGUACACAUCGAGGCAGCUUCCUGCUACCUCCUCAAUUCUCGUGGAAGCACACCAGAAGCUAUGUCUCAGCAGCCUGUGCAGAGUGAAGAAUCCUCCGAGUCAGAACACAUAAGCUGCUGAUGCUGUGGUGAGAUGAGCCAUUUGGAGGUGAGACUGAAAAUCUGUCAGAGGAGUUUUCUCUGAUUUUCAUCUUUUUCUCAUGAGCAGAAGUAGAAAUUUUAGAGGAAGUUUCAGGCUUUUUUUCUUUCCAAGAUGUGAAACAUGUUGGAGAAUGAAUGACAGAUGCUUUUAAAUACAAAAAAUCUUUCUCAGAAGCUUCAGGAAAAUAAGCUGGAAGCAUCAAAGUGGAAUUUCCUGCAGCAGAUGAGAGUUGAACAGUGGCUUAUUUUAGUUUCCACAGAGUCCACUCUUCUUGGGUCAGAAGAAGUGGUGAGCCUGGCAUUCAGAGAGAUGAGUCUGCUUCUAACAUCACACCAACACCACCAGGGAAGACAGUUGGGCCAAGGAGGUGUAAACGAAGAAAGGAAACCGGCUGUGAAUUGCUUUCUUUCAGCACUGCUUUCAGAUACUCAGCUGUUAAGAAGCAGAGUUGCCAUUCUGUCUAAGACAACCGUCUUUGCUAAAUUAUUCUGGACUGGGUCACAUGGGCCAUUCACAGGUG